GUGGGACCACAUGGAGUUUGUUACGGAGAGUGGAGUGGUGUCCAUUGUCGCGACUUGCCGGAAAGUGGUGGGACCACAUGGAGUUUGUUACGGAGAGUGGAGUGGUGUCCGUUGUCGCGACUUGCCAGAGAGUUUGGGCUGGAUGGCUGAAGCUUGGUUGGAACGUCUGGUGGGAUGGAAUAGCUCUCUGUCUCAGUAAUCUAAGAGAAGCUCAAAUAUUUUCGAGGUUGCUGACGGGUUAACUACUGUUGGGUGCCUUAGGCGUUGAUGCUGCAGACGGAAGUCAUCUACUGUAGAAGCCCAGAUGAAAACUUUUUGUUGGAG
This 324-nucleotide long non-coding RNA is filed under the name Elaeis guineensis (African oil palm). RNAcentral's name for it is "long non-coding RNA (EGUI_LNC069068)". The record is from RNAcentral. Lineage: Eukaryota; Viridiplantae; Streptophyta; Magnoliopsida; Arecales; Arecaceae.